Molecule: long non-coding RNA, 1749 nt
Organism: Mugil cephalus (flathead mullet)
Lineage: Eukaryota; Metazoa; Chordata; Actinopteri; Mugiliformes; Mugilidae
Exons: 3
Source: RefSeq, a predicted model, not a curated record
UGUGUCUGUCUGUGUAUGUUGCGUUUGUUUAUCUGAGUGGCAGCUUCAAUUUGAAUCUAGAGCAAACAGAUCAUGGAUAGUGAGAGGAUGAGCUUAUCUCUUUUGCUUCUGUAAGUCAGGAGUAACUCAAUCUUUGGAUUUAUAUCUUCUAUUAAUAUAGCUCUUUGGGCUUUGUGGUAUUCAAACCAUAGGCCCUGAAAUAACCAGACCAAAAAAAGACACGACAAGGGGGCCAGGAAGUGACCUCAGAGCAUAUCAAAAGUCGGUCUGCAGUAGGUGUCUCACUCCUUCCCUCCACCAGCGACUACUUCAGAGCAUGAUGGAAGGCACCAGGACUCUCUGGCUAUUUUUCCUUCUCAACCAGAUGCCCUACUGUCAUACUGACACAUUCCAAGACCUUUCAACAAUCCAGACAGAUUCAUCCAAAACUGAUGACCAAGGUACCAGCCCAACCCCUGAAGCGAAGGGCAGCUUUAAUACUAAUGAUUACAAAAACUCCACCAAUGGGACUUAUGCAGAGUGCCUGAUUGACACUAAGAUGGGUCAGAUUGCUAUAGGUUCAGCAGGGGUGUUGAUUGUCUGCUUACUGUUUACCACAGUUGUACUGGCAUGCCAGAUCUGCCAGCUACAGCACCGUGUUUUUAUUCCUCGAACCUCACGGUCCAACAAGGACUUAGUUAGUGGUGCAGACUACUGGGACCGUCCAGAGGUUACAGGACUGGUUGGGCCGUGCGACACCAAUGUCAUGUUAGAGGAGGUGAGAGCAGACAUUGUGAUCAAGGAAGAAGAGCAGGCAGUGGUGGCGGGUGGGCCAACAGUUGAAGAAGGGGCCAAAGCAAUGGUUUUUGACCUUGAAGAAAAGGCCAGCCAAAUGCAAAGCUCCAGCUCCAGGGACUCCUGUUUGGAAGUUCCCAAGGACAUAGAAAACAUGCCACUUGUUGUGUAAGGACGGAACUCUAUUCCCUACCCUAUUCAACACCAGCCACUGACAUAUCCAGUCAGCUAAGCUGAUCUGUUAUCGGUUAACUUUGCAUGUUUCAAAUUCUUUGCAGUUUAUUUCACACAUGUGGACUUAACUCUCGAAUGCUUAGUCUUUCAGUAAUGUUAUCUCAUCAGCAUAACGUCUAAAUCCAGCAAAUUACAGCGUCAAAAUGUCUGUCAAUGUUUUUCAACCCAACAGAGAUUUUCACUUUAGUUAAUUAUACUUCAUUUGGAAUACAGAGAAUAUUUCAAUGCUUGUCUUUGUGAAGAAUAGCAUUGCUGACAGCCUUGGUCAUGGAUAAAGCUCUUCUGAAGCUCACUGACAGGCACACGAAAACAAUUAAAAACUAUUAUUUUCAUGGGAAAACUUACAUAUUUGUUGCACACUUGAGUUGGAUCAAUUCUUUUUCUUGUACAAAGUAACAAACUGGAUACAAUAAUAAUAAAAAAAUACAACAACUACUCAUCACUUGAUUUCACACCAUUUACCUAAUAUACUAACCAAAUCCUGAGCUGAAAUGAUGGUUAGAAGCAAAGUUCAACAGUGAUUUAUUAUUAUUGCAAGGAGUGUUCCUUGGGUUCUGUCAGUUAAGUAUGCACGAUCUCUUAAACGUACUGCAGACUUUUUAAUAUUAUCGCUCAUUUGUAACUUUUGUACAUGAAGAAAUAAAAAAAAUUAAAAUAAAAACAUGUUUGCUAUGUGUCAAUGUAACUUUUGUACAUGAAGAAAACAUAUAAUUAAAUAAAACCAUGUUUGCUAAGUGUCAA